CCGAAAAUUACUGAGCUUUAUAUAAAUUGUUAAGAACAAAUAAGACCAUUAUGUAUCAAUAUAAGUAUAAAUUUAAUUAAAGAAGCUACAUACUACCGCAUUCAUUUAUAUCUGAUUUAUUAGCUCGCUCAUCUAGUGAGUCUAUCUACUUCAGAUUUAAACUUAAUAAGGGAAAGCUUUAUUGUAACUAUCAUUACCUCACUCGCAAUUAUUUACAGGCUUUAAAGCAGCCCUACCACGUAAUAGUGAAUUUUUAUGAUACUACUUAAAAUACAAUCAUAGCUAAUAUAUUAUAACAAACUAUCUUAUCAUAAACAAUGAUAGAAUUACUAAUCAAUUUAUUUAAUAUGAUAAUUCAAAAAUCACUAUCAUAAACAUUUUAAUUAGCCCCAUAUAUAUAAUAAAGGAAUUCGGCAAAUAUUUUAUUCGACUGUUUAACAAAAACAUUGCCAUUAGCUUAAAUAAUUAAUGGUAACUCUGCCCAGUGAAACAAAUUCAACGGCCGCGGUAUUUUGACCGCGCUAAGGUAGCACAAUAAUGAGCCCUCUAAUUAAGGGAUGGAAUGAAUGAAUCAACGAAAUACCAACUGUCUCUAUUUAUACAAUUUUAAAUUUAUUUUUGGGUGAAAAAUCCCAAAUCUCCCCCAAAGACAAAAAGACCCUAUGAGCUUUUUUUUAAUAUUUAGUCAAUCUUAAAAAAUUUAAUUGGGGCGAUUAUAAGUAAUAAACACUUACAAAAAUCAGGACAAUAAGCCUCUAUCUUUAUCCUUAAACACAAAAGUAAGUUACUGUAGGGAUAACAGGCCAAUCCUUCUUUAGAGAACAAAUCGACAGAAGGGCUUAGCACCUCGAUGUUGGCUUAGGGCUCCGUAAUCACGCACAAGUAAUUUACGGGGGUUUGUUCAACCUUUAAUUCCCUACAUGAGCUGAGUUCAGACCGACGCAAGUCAGGUUAGUUUCUAUCUUGUGAAUAUAUUAAAGUAGUACGAAAGGACCCAUUAAU
Molecule: ribosomal RNA, 1002 nt
Filed under: Typosyllis sp. patternB
Lineage: Eukaryota; Metazoa; Annelida; Polychaeta; Phyllodocida; Syllidae
Description: 16S ribosomal RNA
Rfam family: Eukaryotic large subunit ribosomal RNA (bases 392-1002)
Source: RNAcentral